CCAGACUCCUACGGGAGGCAGCAGUGGGGGAUAUUGCACAAUGGGGGGAACCCUGAUGCAGCGACGCCGCGUGGGCGAAGAAGUAUUUCGGUAUGUAAAGCCCUAUCAGCAGGGAAGAAGAAAUGACGGUACCUGAGUAAGAAGCACCGGCUAAAUACGUGCCAGCAGCCGCGGUAAUACGUAUGGUGCAAGCGUUAUCCGGAUUUACUGGGUGUAAAGGGAGCGCAGGCGGCACGGCAAGCCUGAUGUGAAAGCCCGCGGCCCAACCGCGGGACUGCAUUGGGAACUACCGGGCUGGAGUGCCGGAGAGGUAGGCGGAAUUCCUAGUGUAGCGGUGAAAUGCGUAGAUAUCAGGAGGAACACCGGUGGCGAAGGCGGCCUGCUGGACUGCAACUGACGUUGAGGCCCGAAAGCGUGGGGAGCAAACAGGAUUAGAUACCCCUGUA
RNAcentral lists this ribosomal RNA (446 nucleotides) under uncultured bacterium. RNAcentral describes it as "bacterial SSU rRNA". It matches the Rfam family "Bacterial small subunit ribosomal RNA", at positions 331 to 792 of the family's 1533-position model. The record is from RNAcentral.